UAGGGAAUAUUGGUAAUGGGCGAAAGCCUGAACCAGCAACGCCGCGUGUGCGAUGAAGGCCUUCGGGUUGUAAAGCACUUUUGACCGGGACGAGGAAGGACGGUACCGGUGGAAUAAGCCUCGGCUAACUACGUGCCAGCAGCCGCGGUGAAACGUAGGAGGCGAGCGUUAUCCGGAUUUACUGGGUGUAAAGCGCGUGCAGGCGGUAAGCUAAGUUGGGUGUGAAAGCUCCUGGCUCAACUGGGAGAGGUCGCUCAAGACUGGCGAGCGGGAGGAUGGGAGGGGAAGGGGG
Molecule: ribosomal RNA, 292 nt
Filed under: uncultured bacterium
Lineage: Bacteria
Description: partial 16S ribosomal RNA
Rfam family: Bacterial small subunit ribosomal RNA
Source: RNAcentral